CGUGCAGCUUCUUCCACACGGUCCACAUGCGGUCGAUGUUGGAGUGGUGCGCGAAGAACACUUCGUCUCGCGCGGCGGAGUAGAACGCCCCCAUGUUCUCUCUUUCGGGGUUGUACCUGUUCCCUACCCAGCUGUGCAACGUGUUGUGAGGUGCCGCUUCGAUCGUCCCGGGCCCAUCACACCACCCCUCGACGCCGGACCGCAGCUUGCAACCCAUGAACAGCUCGGUCUUCUUCGCUCCCGAGAUCAUCUGGUGGUACAUGAACGCGAGGUUGUCGGCGAUCUGCACGUCGCUGGCGAGGUCAUGAUCCACGUAGUCGAAGUCAUCGACGGCGGCCUCCCGUAGGUGAAUGGCGUCGCGCUCCGUCUCAUUCAGAGCUCCCUUCCGGUAGAUGUCGGGGAACCACAUGCCCUCGGGGGUGUCCCAGCUCCAGUAGGGGAGCGCGAAGGUGUCGUCUCCCAUGAACUUCCCGAGGAUGCGCUCGUGGAAAUAGAUGAAGGCUCGGUGCCAGGGGAAGAAGAGCCAUGACCUGUGGAUCUUGAAGAGGGCAGAGGAGUUCAUCUGGUCGUAGGCGCCGGUGCAGUAGAGGCAGUGCAUGUUGGCCUGGCGCCAAAAGUUGUGGGGAUGGUCAGGCGGGAUCUGCUUCAUGAUGGCCACCGCCCUCUCAUACUUGGCCACGAACUCCUCGUCGACGAGAUGGGCAGGCCGUCGGAUACGCACCGGCGACGACGGAUCCGGGAACUCGAAGUCGAGCAAGGUUUGGUCGGCGUCUUUCCAGGCCGGGCAACAGUAGACCGGACGAUCGGCGUCCGAGAAUGAAGCAUGGCAAACCGAUAGGUUUGCUUUGAGGGGAAUGCCCUUGCUCUUGCUUCCAUCUCUCUGUUCUCCGCCUUGAGGAUUCACUGGUAUUCUGCAAGUUCAAACUCCAUUUCAGCAUUUUGGAUCCGAGAUCGUUGCAAAUCAAAGAGAAUAUAUAGCAUUUCACCCCACAUAUAUAGGAUUCACAUUAUUCGAUUACAUUAUACCUUGUUUCUUCAGCUAAAUACGAACUAAGAACACAAGGAACUGAACCACCAACGUAUGAUGGGGAAAUUCUUUUUCUUUAUUUUUCCCUUAAGAAAGCCAUACUUGUCACGCCAUGGAUCCCACAUCCGUUACUGCUCCG
This 1166-nucleotide long non-coding RNA is filed under the name Musa acuminata (dwarf banana). RNAcentral describes it as "long non-coding RNA (MACU_LNC006135)". The record is from RNAcentral. Lineage: Eukaryota; Viridiplantae; Streptophyta; Magnoliopsida; Zingiberales; Musaceae.